This is a small nucleolar RNA of Osmerus eperlanus (European smelt), 213 nucleotides long. RefSeq annotates it as small nucleolar RNA SNORD17. Lineage: Eukaryota; Metazoa; Chordata; Actinopteri; Osmeriformes; Osmeridae. The transcript has a single exon. The record is from RefSeq and is a predicted model, not a curated record.
GUGAACAUGAUGAACCUGUUUAUCCAUUCUCUGAGUGCUGUUGGGCCUUAGCCUUGCAGCCCUCUGGGCCAGUUCUUGACCCAGAGGGUUCAGUAACCUGGCCAUGCGUGGUAACCCUAGUGUUCUACUGGGGUAACUGCGUGGUGGACAGACUCGCUGUCGCAUGGGCAAAUGGCUUGACCACAACUAAGACGAGUUUAAACAUCUGAUUAC